This 329-nucleotide ribosomal RNA is filed under the name uncultured eukaryote. RNAcentral describes it as "partial 18S ribosomal RNA". It matches the Rfam family "Eukaryotic small subunit ribosomal RNA", at positions 1470 to 1796 of the family's 1831-position model. The record is from RNAcentral.
CCCUUAGAUGUUCUGGGCCGCACGCGCGCUACACUGAUGCAUUUAACGAGUCUAAAACCUGCUCUGAUAGGGGUGGGUAAUCUUUUGAAUGUGCAUCGUGAUUGGGAUAGAUGAUUGCAAUUUUUCAUCUUCAACGAGGAAUGCCUAGUAAACGCAAGUCAUCAGCUUGCAUUGAUUACGUCCCUGCCCUUUGUACACACCGCCCGUCGCUCCUACCGAUUGAAUGAUCCGAUGAAUAUCAUGGAUUGAGGAUGCAAGCAGGUUCGCCUGUCUUCAUCUUCGAGAAGUGAAGUAAAUCUUAUCAUUUAGAGGAAGGAGAAGUCGUAACA